GGAUGAUCGACAUGACAGGGACAGAGAUAGAGACAGAAAAGCAGGGUAUGAUGAUCGCGCAAGAGACGAUAGUCGGGAGAGAGAAAGGGCCCGAGAUCCCCGAGUGCAUAGGUAUGUGUCUGGGGUGCAGGAUGGAGUGUCUGGCAGAAAGUAUCCAGUCGCUAGUGGUUCUCCUUACUAAAAAUGUACAGCGUUAGGGGCCAGG
This 205-nucleotide unclassified non-coding RNA is filed under the name Hevea brasiliensis (rubber tree). Lineage: Eukaryota; Viridiplantae; Streptophyta; Magnoliopsida; Malpighiales; Euphorbiaceae. The record is from RNAcentral.